GACAAACGCUGGCGGCGUGCUUAACACAUGCAAGUCGAACGGAAAGGCCCUGCUUUUGUGGGGUGCUCGAGUGGCGAACGGGUGAGUAACACGUGAGUAACCUGCCCUUGACUUUGGGAUAACUUCAGGAAACUGAGGCUAAUACCGGAUAGGAGCUCCUGCUGCAUGGUGGGGGUUGGAAAGUUUCGGCGGUUGGGGAUGGACUCGCGGCUUAUCAGCUUGUUGGUGGGGUAGUGGCUUACCAAGGCUUUGACGGGUAGCCGGCCUGAGAGGGUGACCGGCCACAUUGGGACUGAGAUACGGCCCAGACUCCUACGGGAGGCAGCAGUGGGGAAUAUUGCACAAUGGGCGGAAGCCUGAUGCAGCAACGCCGCGUGCGGGAUGACGGCCUUCGGGUUGUAAACCGCUUUCGCCUGUGACGAAGCGUGAGUGACGGUAAUGGGUAAAGAAGCACCGGCUAACUACGUG
This 468-nucleotide ribosomal RNA is filed under the name uncultured bacterium. RNAcentral describes it as "partial 16S ribosomal RNA". It matches the Rfam family "Bacterial small subunit ribosomal RNA", at positions 28 to 507 of the family's 1533-position model. The record is from RNAcentral.